AGGGAGAAUGAGCCAUGCUGGAGAAGCAGGGCACAUGCCAGAUAUAUCAGCAUUGUCUGAGAAUUUUGCAUGUGCUCUACCUCUCCAGCUUGGACUCUCUCCCU
Malus domestica (apple) is the source of this 104-nucleotide non-coding RNA. The record is from RefSeq and is marked provisional. Lineage: Eukaryota; Viridiplantae; Streptophyta; Magnoliopsida; Rosales; Rosaceae.